CACGGACCAAGGAGUUUAUCGUGUACGCAAGUCAUUGGGUGUAUAAAACCCAUAGGCGAAAUGAAAGUAAAGAGUAGAGCCUUGUAAAAAAAAGUUUACUUUUUUUUACAUUCUCUCUUAAGGGAAGAUGGAAAUAUCAAUAUGCUUUAUGUGUAUGAAAAUUUCCCGCACUCCCAGGGCGCUUGUAUCUUGCUUUGCGAGUCGAUGCGCACCUAGAGCGUACACGCUGAUACCCGAAAGAUGGUGAACUAUGCCUGGCCAGGACGAAGCCAGGGGAAACCCUGGUGGAGGUCCGCAGCGAUUCUGACGUGCAAAUCGAUCGUCGGAGCUGGGUAUAGGGGCGAAAGACCAAUCGAACCAUCUAGUAGCUGGUUCCCUCUGAAGUUUCCCUCAGGAUAGCUUGCACUCGGUUGAGAAGAGUCUCAUCCGGUAGAGCGAAUGAUUAGAGGCAUUGGGGUCGAAACGACCUCAACCUAUUCUCAAACUCCAAAUAGAUGAGAUCCCCGGCUUUCUUAAAAGUGAAGCCGUGGGCAAUAGGAUCAGAGUGCCAAGUGGGCCAAUUUUGGUAAGCAGAACUGGCGCU
RNAcentral lists this ribosomal RNA (583 nucleotides) under Zelurus alcides. RNAcentral's name for it is "eukaryotic LSU rRNA". It matches the Rfam family "Eukaryotic large subunit ribosomal RNA", at positions 660 to 1157 of the family's 3401-position model. The record is from RNAcentral. Lineage: Eukaryota; Metazoa; Arthropoda; Insecta; Hemiptera; Reduviidae.